Long non-coding RNA from Lathyrus oleraceus (garden pea), 363 nucleotides. RefSeq lists it as uncharacterized. The transcript is spliced from 2 exons. NCBI's taxonomy places the organism in Eukaryota, Viridiplantae, Streptophyta, Magnoliopsida, Fabales, Fabaceae. The record is from RefSeq and is a predicted model, not a curated record.
ACUUGAUCUACUUCUUGGAUUUCUUUGAUGGUCUGCACAGAAAACAUGCAUUUAGACAACAUAGCAAAAAUUUCAACCAAAAACAAAAGUGUGUGCUUAGAUACUUACUGGGCAGGCUGGGUUGCUGUUGCAGCUGGUGCCACUGGUGCUGUAGGUGCCUUUUCUCCAGGACCCUACACAUUUUAGAGGGGAAGUGACAAUAGUUAAAUUCCUCAAUAAAAGUUGAGUGACAAUGCUGUAAUCAGCUUAGGAACUCACUUGAGCAAAGCGCUCUUCUCUUCGGGCAUGUUUCCUUUCCCUGCUAGCCUUGUUCUUAGCCCUCUUGGCCUCAAACUGAUCAGACAAUGUCUUCUCUCUUGCCUU